UACUUCAACGAAAUGGUAUAUUGCACUUGCAAUAGGUGCCAAAAUAGGAAACUAAAGAAGCGACGACUUGUCGAUAUCCAUAGAUUGAACUAUGGGGUUUAUAUAGAAGAGGUACACUAUAAUUAACAAAUUAUUACUCUUUAAAUAAAUAAAGGUGCACAUUAUUCAAUACAUUAUUAUUGACCAUUUCAAUUGGUUUUCUGAUAAAAAGCCGCUUCCAGUUCACAAUAUUUCUGAAGAACCAACAGAUGUCACCAAUGAUAGCCACUCUCAAGAUGAAGAACAAGACACAAUUAUGGAUGAAGACACUUCAGAGAUAAAUGAGGCUGGUGUCAAUGAAUUCAUCCAAGACUUCUACACAUCUUUUGAAGAAGUUAUUGAUUCCCCCCUAGCUCAGUUGGCUACAACACCUGUUUUCCCAAAUGCAGAUACUUCUAUAUUGGCAACACUUAUGUUGUUGUUGAAUUUGAAGGUUACACAUGGACUGACAAAUACAUGCUUUAAUGAUAUAUUAAGGCUUUUGGCAAAUAAAAUACUUCCAAAGGACAAUAAGUUGCCUCAUUCUCAUAGAGAAGUAUCUUCAGUAAUGAAAGACAUUGGAAUGGAGUACAAUACAUAUGAUGCAUGUCCAAACGACCAUAUAUUGUAGUAUGGAAGGAAUGCAAAUUUACAGCAAUGCCCAGUGUGUCACACAAGUCGAUAUCAUCAAGAUCAAGUAUCCAAGAAGGUUCCUUAUAAAGUACUAUGACACAUUCCAUUAAAGCCAAGGUUCGAGAGGAUGUUCAAAUGCAAGGAGUUGGAAAAAUAUAUUUUUUAUCAUGCACAUGGGAGGAGCCAAGAUGGUGUCAUGCGUAUGGCCACAGAUAGCAAAUAUUGGAAAGAGAUUGAGGAAAAAUGGCCACAUUUAAGAAAUGAGCCAAGGAAUGCAAUAAUUUCUCUGGCAAUGGAUGGUGUAAAUCCUUUUCGAGAUCUUAGAACAACAUAUUCUGUUUGCCCAGUUUUAAUUAUUAACAACAAUCUCCCCCCCUGGAUGACAAUGAAAAAGGAGCAUGCAAUGUUAACUCUUAUCAUACCAGGGAAGUAUCAGGUAAAGGAUAUGGAUGUAUACAUGGAGCCCCUCAUUGAUGAGCUUCAUGAAUUAUGGGAUGGUGUAUAUAUGCUUGAUAUAUCAAGACCUAUCAAUGAUAGAAACUUCUUCUUUCAAGCGAUGCUUAUCUGGACAAUUCAUGA
This is a long non-coding RNA of Cryptomeria japonica (Japanese cedar), 1230 nucleotides long. RefSeq lists it as uncharacterized. The transcript is spliced from 3 exons. The record is from RefSeq and is a predicted model, not a curated record. Lineage: Eukaryota; Viridiplantae; Streptophyta; Pinopsida; Cupressales; Cupressaceae.